AGUGAACGCUGGCGGUAGGCCUAACACAUGCAAGUCGAACGGCAGCACGGUAAGAGCUUGCUCUUACGGGUGGCGAGUGGCGGACGGGUGAGGAAUACAUCGGAAUCUACUUUUUCGUGGGGGAUAACGUAGGGAAACUUACGCUAAUACCGCAUACGACCUACGGGUGAAAGCAGGGGAUCUUCGGACCUUGCGCGAUUGAAUGAGCCGAUGUCGGAUUAGCUAGUUGGCGGGGUAAAGGCCCACCAAGGCGACGAUCCGUAGCUGGUCUGAGAGGAUGAUCAGCCACACUGGAACUGAGACACGGUCCAGACUCCUACGGGAGGCAGCAGUGGGGAAUAUUGGACAAUGGGCGCAAGCCUGAUCCAGCCAUACCGCGUGGGUGAAGAGGGCCUUCGGGCUGUAAAGCCCUUUUGUUGGGAAAGAAAAGCAGCAGGUUAAUACCCCGCUGUUCUGACGGUACCCAAAGAAUAAGCACCGGCUAACUUCGUG
This 492-nucleotide ribosomal RNA is filed under the name uncultured bacterium. Its description in RNAcentral is "partial 16S ribosomal RNA". It matches the Rfam family "Bacterial small subunit ribosomal RNA", at positions 29 to 507 of the family's 1533-position model. The record is from RNAcentral.